RNAcentral lists this ribosomal RNA (406 nucleotides) under uncultured bacterium. Its description in RNAcentral is "partial 16S ribosomal RNA". It matches the Rfam family "Bacterial small subunit ribosomal RNA", at positions 29 to 526 of the family's 1533-position model. The record is from RNAcentral.
AUUGAACGCUGGCGGCAGGCCUAACACAUGCAAGUCGAACGAGUGGCGGACGGGUGAGUAAUGUCUGGGAAACUGCCUGAUGGAGGGGGAUAACUACUGGAAACGGUAGCUAAUACCGCAUACCAUCGGAUGUGCCCAGAUGGGAUUAGCUAGUUAGUUGGGUAAAGGCUCACCUAGGCGACGAUCCCUAGCUGGUCUGAGAGGAGGACCAGCCAAACGUGAACUGAGACACGGUGCAGACUCCUACGGGAGGCAUCAGUGGGGAAUAGUGCACAAUGGGCGAAAGGCUGAUGCAGCCAAGGAGUGUGGGUGAAGAAGGCCUUCGGGUUGUAAAGCAGUGUCAGCCGGGAGGCGUUACCCGCAGAAGAAGCACCGGCUAACUCCGUGCCAGCAGCCGCGGUAAUAC